GGUUUGCCGGGAAGGGUGAAGGGAGGAAAGCGGAGCAGGGACGCUGCUCCCUCCCUUCCACGACCCGAGUGGGCGCGGAGUCCCGCGCCAGGACGGAUCCGACAGCGAUGCCUUCGGCAGGGCCGAGCCCCGCGAUGGAGGAGCACUUCUGGGACCCCGGGCCCGAGCAGCGCCGGGUCCCGCCGGGCCUCCCGAGCCCUGCCUGGCCCUGGCGCGGCCGCGUCCCCCGCGGAGUCCCCGCGUCCCGCCCGCCGUGCCGGUGGAGCUCUCCAGGGUGCUGAACCGCGCGGCCCCGCCGGGCCCGGCCGCCCCCAGCCCGUCCCGAGCCCCCGCCUCGCCUGUGGCCACCGGGCACGGCUGCCCCUUCCACCCUCCCCUGCCUCUCUGUUGCCUUCGUUCUCUCUCCCUCGAUAUUCCCCUCUCUGCUUUUCUUAUUAAUUUUCCCCCGCGUUUUCUCCUUUUUAUUCCUUCUUGUUUUUUUCCUUUAUAUUUUCCUAAUUUUCUGUAUUUCUCUGUUUUUCCGGUUUUUUCUCUGUUUGUCUCCUUUCUUUCUUCCCCCCCCUCCAAAUUUUCUUCUUUUUUUUCUUAUUUUUGUCCUCUUUCCCCCCGUUUUUCUCAUUUUGCUUUUAUUUUUUUUCGCUUUCUCUCCUCUUGUUCUUUUCCCGUUUUUUCUCAUUUCCUUUUUUAUUUUUCUCCUUUUCUUUUUUUCUCUUUCAAUUCUUCCUCUUUUUCUCUCUCGAUUCUUUCUCUCUUUCUCUCUUUCUUUCUCUCUCUCCCCACACCCUUCGCUGCUCUAUUUUUCGUUUCCCCCUCUCAUCACACACACAUUCCACACCGAUCUCUCUGUGCCUCUCUGUUUUUCUCUGCUCUCCCGUUUCCCUCCUCCCACAGAAAGCUGCGUUGGCCGGAAAGACUGGAAAUUUUGCGAAUACCACGACAUAAUUAUCAGAUGCUCAUCGGACCCCUCCACUCUCCCAGUGCCCCCCCAAUAGUUCAUCCCGGGCUGCGCUGCCCAGGACACCUCCAGCUCCGGCCCUGCCGCUGCGGGAAGAGCCAGAGGGAUCUCAGCGCGGCUUUUUUUUCGGUCUUACAGCCGCUGCGAUUAAAACCGAACCCCGGGAUGCCGGUGCCUGCCCACCCCGAGCGGUGACAGAGCAGUGCGGGGGGACCCUCACGGCUCAGCCCCACGCUGGGGGGGCCGAGAAAACCAAGUGGUGAGCCCCGAGUGUCACGGAGAGGAGACACUCGGACACUUGCACAAACGCUUCUGUCCCUGCACACACUCACCCUCCCUCCCCCAAAUUGCCCCUCCCGGGAGAGGAACCGGCUGGGGAGUCUCCACCAGGGCUGACCCGGCUCCCCCAGCCCUGACACCCCGGUGAAGGGCUUGGGGGUGUCCCCCUGCCUGCCUGCACAGCUCUUUGUCUGCCUCAUCCUCUGCUGCACACACGUAUCUCCCUUCCCUGCGUUCACCACCCAACCUGCACAUUCCCUGUGUUCCUUCAGGCGCGUCCACGGACCCUGCUGCACACACACGCUCCCCCUGCACACCCCAAAUCCUCAUCCCCCACACCCCCACGGCUGGGAAGCGCAUCCCUGUGACACGUUUCAUGCACACACUCAAAACCAGCCCUCGCACACGCACAUUCCCCCUGCAACACCCAUCUCGGUGGCCCUGCCUUCUCUGACGUACCCAGGCUCUGUGGGAGCCGACACCGUCCCUCAACCCCAUCUUUUUAUUCAAGGGGAUGAGAUUUUUCUCUCUGUGCAGGCCAGAGGAGAGAGCCCUUCCUGGGGUUACCUCGGGGCCGGGAGUGGGGCUGAGAGUUUUGCCUAGACCGCUCCAAUACCCGUUUCACAACCUGGGUGAGAAGCCGGGGCAGAAGCACCUCGUGCUGAGCAGGGAUGUGAUAAAACCUCCAUUGCCUCAGGGAAUGGGAAGACCGAAUGGGACCUCUCUAACCUCAUCAGCUGCCUAAUGUGCAGUUCUUGUGACAAUGCUUGGACUGUCACUGUCACCUGGGCACACGGCCACCUUGCUUUCUCUCUCCCCCAUCCCCAUUUCCUUCUGUUGACCUCACUAGAAAUGCACACCUGCCUCUCCUAACCAUGAUCAGGGCCACAAAAGCAGCCCCACCUGCUCCAACAAAGGCGGUUCCCAUUGGCACCUGGGUAUUUUUGGCUUUCCGGGGGUGUCCAGAAGAGAAGAUUGGCAGCAGGGUACUGUGGAGGGGCAAAGGGGAGCAGAAUCUUUGGGGACUUGAGAAGCUGUUGGUUUCUUUCAUUUAUUUUUUUUUUUCCCCUCGUGAUUCUUUUUUUUUUUUUUCCCUUUUGGAGCAGGAAAAAUAACCAGUGUGGGGGAAUUUAGGUUUAGCUUUUCCAUUGGAAGCAACUCCUUGCAGGGGGAGGUGGGGACGGCCAAGGGCCAGCCUGGAAGGGCCCCUCAAGCUCAGCUGGUGUGUGGGAUGGAGCCCUGACCAUGCUCUGCAGGACUGAGGCGCUUCCAAGGAGACCUCCAUCCAUCCAGGCCUUGCUUUAGUUCCCCCUCUGGUGAUGACAGUCCUUUGGAGCACUCCCUAGUGCUGGUAUCCACUAGAGAACCUUGGUGAGCACUGGAGACCUGAGGUACAUGGCUUAAAUCCUCUGUGCAACAUGCCAGCACCACACUGAGCCCCCUCAGCGGGAUCCAGGAACCUCACAGAGCCCUGGGAUCUGGUUAGCAAUGUUCCCUUUCCAAGUGAAGCUUGUUGGGCUCUUUCCUCCCUGUCUGUUUUCCAGCACAGCCAACCAGACUAUCAAAACAGAGCCGAGUCCUAUUUGAAAUUCAGAGGGCACCAUCAGUCCAUGUCAUUGGCAGGGAAUAAAUAAAUACCUCUUUUGAAGGCGUCAGGAGUGAUGUGUUGCUGGGCUCAUUCAAGGUCACAUCCGUAAACAUGUGGUGGAGGCAGGGAGCAAAUCCAAACUGGAUUCAAUCCAAACUGGAUUCAAUCUCGGCCACCGCUUUCCUGUGGGACAAAAAUCCCCCCUCCCCACGGGAGCCCCCCCCAAACGUGAGGGGAGAUGGAGGUGCUGGGUGUGUGUCACCUCUGCUCAUGGCCUUGGUGGGGGUGGCUGAAUGGGCCUGGGGGUGAGUGGGAAGGGCCACUGUGGCACUGGGCAGGGAGGAUGAGUUUCUGGGGGGAGGUCUGAUGAUGUGACAUGAUAUGCAACAUCCAGCAAGUGAUGUUUUCUAUAGGAGUGUCAUAUCCUGGUCUGGAGGCCGCCUCAGCACUCCUGGUACCUGAUGGGAUUCAACGUGACCGGAGGAUUUUGGUUUGUCUGCAUCUGGAACAAACUUCCCUGGGGAAGGAGCUCUGUUCCUGACAUGGCAGGUAAAGCCCAGGCAGUUCUGUGGGUGGCCCAACCUCUUGUCCACACACAAUUCACCUUCUCCAGGCACUGUGCAGACCCUGGGCAGCCCCCUUGCCCUCUUGGCUGUAAAGCUAUUCCAGGGCUGUUCUAGUCUCCACACUCCCUUUCACCACUCUAUCUGCAACCAAAGAGGGAGAAGUCAACAAAACCCCACCAACCCAGAGCCCCUUCCUCCCACACCAAGGCUCGGACCCCAAGUCUGAGGCUGCUCAGCUCUGUCUCGGUGGCACUCCUCACCCUUUGACAAAUCCUGGCAUUUGCAAAGUUAUUAUACCUCAUUAUGAAUUGGAUUUUAAUCUAGUGUAAAUAGUCCUACCAUUAUAGUGUCAUAAGAAGCAAUUAGCCCCCCUGCUUGCUUCUAUGCAUGAGGGGAAAGCUUUAAUAUCACGGAGCUGUGAGGGCUUGAUGGGGCUUCAGCCUACAUACGUACAUACAGGCAAAGGCUUUGCUCUCCUGGCAUUAAUCUGUCCGGCCUGUGCCCCAGAUGUCCCCUCUGUGUCCUCAGGAGGUCUCCAAAGUGAACAUCUCCUGAGCUGCGGGGUGGAUUUUGGCCUGGGAUCUCUGCCUCUCCGUGGGCGCGCUUGGCAGCACCGCUGGAAAUCUUCUUCCAGAGGAUGGAUGUGGUUCAAGCAGAUGAUAAAUCGUGGUUUCCUCGCCUUGCCCUUAACCCAGUCACAAAGGGGAUUAUCAUCCGCAGGGUGAGAGGCGUCUGGAGUCCAGUCCCUGCCUUGCCUCGGGGUGAUUAUUUCCAAUCUCAGCGAAGCUCUUUCCUCCUUUGCCUCGUGGAGGAAAUUCAUUAUCUGGAGCUGGAGCGCUCGCACAGCUACAAACCAAUCCCACCUUCUCCGUGCCUGUGUCACCUGGAGCCGGGCCGGGGGAGCUGGUGAGAGCCUGGGCACUCACACGUCAGGGUUGUCCCCACUGGGCAAUGUUGCAUGAUUAAUAACAACCCCAGGUUAAUGGGGUUUUAAUGUUCCUCCAGCAGCAGAGGGAGGGGGUGGUGUCCUCAGCUCCGAGCAGGGGCUUUGAUCUUUGUUUUAGGGAGGGAUCGAGGUGUCUUUGUGCUUGGUGCUGGCUGUGUGUCCGUGGACACCAUGGCAUGUGAGGGUUGAAGGGGACAGGCAGAGCCAGAUGUGCUCCAGGGUUGGGAACUGGAGUGUUCAUGGUGUGGGGGUGUGAUGGACACAAGUGUUAAAUACUGUCCCCAGUGAUCUCAUGGGGAUCCCAGUGCACAGUGGGGGCUGCACAGACCAUGGCACAGCAGCAGGGCCCAUCCUUAUGCCAUUUCCAGAAAAGAGGGGCUCCCUGCACUGUGGAUUCAGCAGGGAAAAGGCUUUCUGAAUUCUUCCAAGGAGGGGACAGACCCACUUUGUGCAUGAAGGGGCAUCAGGGCUGGGAAAAGGGGCCUGUGGUCCAUCCCUCUGUACCCCUGGGGUCCUGGUCACAGACUGUGUCGUGGUCCCUAUUCCUGAGAACAGUCCUGCAGGAACUUGCUUGCAGGGGAUGGACACAGAAAAAUACACCCCCUUCCCCACCCUUUCUUUGCCACAAGAAAGAAAAGCUGGCUGCCUGUUAAUUACAUGAACCUUCUCAUGGGCAAUUGAGCUGGCUGUGUGUGUGUAUUCACGCUGCCUGUGAGUUCUUGUCUGGUUUGUGCUCACAGGUGACUGAAGUGAAGCCAAAUUUUGCAACAAAGCAGGGCACUGCUGGCCGUGUCCAGCUGCACCCAGGCCCUGUCCACACAGCAAGGCAGCAUCUCUUUCUCCCAGGGCAGAAAUAGUACCACCUCUAUCCCAAACUCAUUUUUUUUUGUCCUGUGGUGACUUGUCCCCAUGGUCAAGAUGUUACAGAGCCCCAGAGCUGUUGGCAUCCCUCUGCUUGUUACUUCCUCUCCCUAAACUUUGGUAAGGGAGGGUCCUUCAGACUGAGCUUGAGCAGAAGGACAUGGUCCUUCCCUGGUGAGGAUGUGGCCCCUUCCCCUUACUGUAGGUGAAGGAGGCUGGUGCUUUGGGAAGGGGAUGGAUUAUAAUGUCAAGGGGGGGGUAAGAAAGAGGGUACUUGGUGUGAGGAUCCUGCUGCUGCUCCACAUUUGGAGUGGAUCUAUGGAUGGAGCCCAGCAACGAGCCACUGUGCUGGCUGGGGACUGUCCUCUGGUGGCAGUGCCAGCUUUGGGACUGUCCUAUGUGCACAGAGGAGGAGCUGGAAGCCCAGGGAGAUGCUGGUUCCUGGCUCUGUGGGAUGUGCGUUUGAGAUGCUCCUCAAGGACCUUUCCCUCUCGCUGGAGCUUACUGGGAAUGUUGGCCAACAGGGCACCCAAAUCCCUCCUGCACACUUCCACAGGGCACAGGUAAGAGUGCUGGCCACCUCUGUGUGUCUGUCCUGGCACCAUUUCGGCCCGUGCCAACCAGCACCCUCCCAGUCAGUGUCUGGAAAGAGAUGAGGGUCAGCCCAGGACACAUGAAGGGAUGUGCCACAGACUUCCAGGACUCUGCAGCUCGUCUCCUUCCUGCCAGAUUGACUCCAACCUCUCCAGUGCUGAGUUUCCAGGCCUUCAUUUCCAGCACUCAUUGCUAUUCAUCAGUGCAUCUGAAUAUUUUAAUCCUUGGGGAGUGGGGACUGUAGAACAGCAUCCCCCCCCUCUCCCAGCCACCUUCCCUUGCUUAUCUGCUGCAACCAGGGCCAAACUGUUCCCAGGCCUCGGUGGGUGAGACAAAUCGUGGAAGAAGCUUAAAGCAAGACCAGCAUCUCCCACCUUGUGCUUGGAGGGGGCUGGGGAAGAAGAGGAGGGAGGGGGUGAGGGAAGCAGCUUGUAAUUACAGAGUAAGAGGCAGCGAUAAAAUGAUAAUGGAAGAGUUCUGACCCGGCUGAGCCAGUUCUGCAAAGCUGUGAAAUAAAUUUAGCAAAAGAGCGAGGGCACGGGGGCUCCCAGGCUGGGUUACAGCUGAAAUGCUGGUUUCACAAACAACACGUAAAUUGGAUUGCAAACAUCUAAUUAACCUCUUUGCUUAUUUUUUGGUGGGAAAGGCGACAGAUUCCAGCGAAAGCUGACACUGUGGUGAGAUAUCCCUUUGCAGGAGAGAAUCUGGAGGAGAGGAGAGGAAAGUGAUUCAGUGAUUUCACCUGCUGGCUCCCUCCUUGCUGCCCAGGCACCAGGGAGAGGAAAAUCUCAAGCUCUUCUGGCUCCCCUGCCUUGUGGUAGAAGCUGUGUGUGAUGUCUGUGAAAACACAGAGGAGAAGGUGCUGAUGGAGCUUCUUCCCGUGUUUCUUUGUUCUUCAUCUCACUUGGAGUUCCCCACUUCCAGGGGGACAGGGAUAGGGAUCUCCCAUGGCCUGAGCUGGCUCUCCUUGGCUGCUGCUCUGCUCUGUGCCAGGGCUACUGACUCUUUUGGAUUUGACCCAACCUCUUUGGAGAGCAGAGGUUUAAUAUGAACACCCAGUUGUGUGGUCCCUGAGGAUGUGCAGUACUAACCUGGAGGAAGGUCAUCACAGGAGCCCAUGGAACCUUCAGCUCUUUCCCUUUCUGAAAUAUUGUGAAAACUCUUCAAGAAUUGGGCUUGGUCAAUGAAAAGUCGCUGCUGUGAGGAGUGAGAUCUCCUUACCCAGGUUUGAUCAAACCCCCCGGGAGGGACCAGGGCAGGACAGAGACCUUUCCUUCACCACUGAUCCCUCAGAGCAGACAACAGCUCUGUGCAAGGUGACAGCAGAGGGAAUGUGCCUGGGCAGAGGGUCCUGUGGAAGGUGGGGAGAUGCCUUGGUUGUGCUCUGUGCCAGCAGGAUUGGGGCACCACAAGGAUGAGGCUGGAUGCACGUGCUGUGUUCUGUCCAGGGAGGUUCUACUUUGCUGCCUCAGAAAUGAGGGAAGCAGACGGUCACGUCACGUGGGAGCAAGCAGGAAAGCAAGAAACAGCCUGGUCUGGGAUAAAAGUGGCUCUGCUGGAGCAACUUUUCCACGGGGGAUGCUGCUUUCCAACCUCUGGAUGGGAAGGUGAUGUUGCAGCUGCCAAAGAACUGCUUGGCCAUGGAGAGCUGCAGGCAGCUGCAAAGGGAAUUAAAUAAUAAUACCUUCUGGAGGCAAAACUGGCUGGAUUGAAUGGAGCAGCACCACCAUCCAGACAGACAAGGAAAGACCAGGAUAGGAGCUCAAAUGAGAAGGAGAUGCCUCCAUGACAACACUAACACAGACUUAACCCACAUGCAUGCCAAGCAGUGUUGUCCCUUCAUCCCUGGUGCCCUGGAUUUGAAGAGGGACGUCUGCACAGCCCAGAGCAUCAAAUUUCUUCUGGCCAAAAGUGUGGAGGACUUGGGCAAGCUGGAGCAGCCCAGCCACCCAGAUGGUCCGUGUGGCUGUGACACCAAAGCUGUGCAUGGGCAAGGACCUGCUCCACAUCUGCAGUGAAAAUCCCUGUGCACAGGUGACAGGAUUGAUGGAGGUGAGCAGGGUGAGGGAAGAAUUGUGUGGAUCAGGAGGAAAUGUUACUGGAGGUGUGUGGCUUUGCCAACCAGGGAGACAUGGAUGUGGGGAAGAAGCUCUGCUCUGAGGAUAGAGAAGGCAGGGGAGGUUUGUCAGAGAGGUUUGGAGCUGGGAACACAGCAGUGGGUGAAAUGAUGGGUGGGUGGGUGCUGGUGGUCACCCUGGGCAUCCUGCAGCACCUGGCAUGGUUGGACAGGGUCCACCCUUCGAGCUGGCCCAAGGGAGUGCUGUAAAAACAGUGG
Long non-coding RNA from Pseudopipra pipra, 8124 nucleotides. RefSeq lists it as uncharacterized. The transcript has 5 exons. Lineage: Eukaryota; Metazoa; Chordata; Aves; Passeriformes; Pipridae. The record is from RefSeq and is a predicted model, not a curated record.